UGAGUAACACGUAUCCAACCUGCCGUCUACUCUUGGCCAGCCUUCUGAAAGGAAGAUUAAUCCAGGAUGGCAUCAUGAGUUCACAUGUCCGCAUGAUUAAAGGUAUUUUCCGGUAGACGAUGGGGAUGCGUUCCAUUAGAUAGUAGGCGGGGUAACGGCCCACCUAGUCAACGAUGGAUAGGGGUUCUGAGAGGAAGGUUCCCCACAUUGGAACUGAGACACGGUCCAA
RNAcentral lists this ribosomal RNA (229 nucleotides) under uncultured bacterium. RNAcentral describes it as "partial 16S ribosomal RNA". It matches the Rfam family "Bacterial small subunit ribosomal RNA", at positions 107 to 334 of the family's 1533-position model. The record is from RNAcentral.